Molecule: small RNA, 73 nt
Filed under: Salmonella enterica subsp. enterica serovar Typhimurium str. SL1344
Lineage: Bacteria; Pseudomonadati; Pseudomonadota; Gammaproteobacteria; Enterobacterales; Enterobacteriaceae
Also listed under: 1 other name
Description: STnc840
Source: RNAcentral
UCUUUUUGAAACAUAUCACGAAACUGGAUAUGUUUUGUCUGCCCGCGCCAUCCACCCCGGCGCGGGCAUUUUU